RNAcentral lists this long non-coding RNA (1009 nucleotides) under Astyanax mexicanus (Mexican tetra). RNAcentral's name for it is "lncRNA (ENSAMXG00005005634.1)". Lineage: Eukaryota; Metazoa; Chordata; Actinopteri; Characiformes; Acestrorhamphidae. The record is from RNAcentral.
CCUCCAUGUUACACAUCCCAUAAUAACUCCAGUAUUCUCUGUACACAGUAGCUGCAGAUUGGGUGGUAGGGGUAUAGGAGUGUUGAUAGAGCGUCCAAUAGAAACACAUCCCACAGAUUUACUAUAAUCAGAUGAUACAGUGGAUCAUCUUCAGUAAUGAGUUACUGAGUUACUCUACAGUCCUGCUGUUCUGAUGUAACAGUCAGUGCUGUGAUUCUCCACUAGAGGUCAGUAUAAACUGUUAAUAACACAGAAAUCCUCUGUUCUUACAGCUGAAGCUCCGCCCCUUCCGCCACGCCCACCCUUCUUACCGAAAUGCCCGGAGUACGUAUUAGUGCGCCCUGUUUCCGGCCGGGACCACCUCCCCGCCAGCAGCGCUCCGGCUACUGAAGGAGAGUCUGAGGGUCAGCUGCUGCCUGGAAACCCGAACGUGUUGCUGGUUAAUCUGGGGAAGCUGGUGAUGGAGGAGCCGGGUGAGCCUGUGCUGGGAGAGCCGACGUCCUGUUUUGGAUGUGGAUCCGUGUUGGAGUCCAGCUACGAUAACAUGGUAAAAGAAUGUUAUUUCUGUCAGUCUUGGAGCCCCGCCCCUUCCUCUCCUAUAGACCCGCCCACUGGUUGUGAGGACUGCCUCUUCCAGUUGAGUCCUGGGAUCAGAGGCUCCUCAGCGGACAGUAACCUGCUCAUCUUCUGUAUCUCUACCUCACACUCCAUGAGUACCAGUACUCAGGUUGUAAAACAGAAAAGUGCUACACACAGGUCCCGCCUCCACUGUGUACAGGAGGCUGUACUACAGUGUGUUCAGGUUUUGAGUGAAAAGCUUCCAGAGACUCGUGUUGGUCUUGUGACUUUCGGUGAAAAGGCUGGAGGAGUGCGGAGCGUCCGCCCUCGGACCUGCUGUCCUCGUCUCCAUAACGAUGGCCUCCAACCACCCUGGGUCAAAGGUCAGCGGAGGGUUUAAAAGUAUUUUUUGGAAGCAGCUUAUGGCACCUUACAUAUAUUUCAGUUAUAA